UAGGAGACAUGGAUAUUCCAAAAAGUAAUAUCUUGUCCUUGUAAGAGUUCCUGCAACCAGAGUUUGGGAAGAGGGCCUGAAAGCCCUCUUCCUUAGGCAAAUACAGGAGAACCCUCUUACCUAUAGGCAAAGAUAGGAUGAUACCAUAUAUUAAGUGCAGAAACUGAGUGGAAAAUAGCUUUAGUCAUGGACUUGAAUCCUGACUUACUUCUAGGUAGCACUCGGGACUCUUGCUAAGGGCAUACCACAAGUUUUACAAUUUAGGCUGUAGGCAUGGAGAAACGGAUCUGGGAGUCCCUCUGAAAUCUAAUCAUGUAUAAACAUAGUUUAUUAAACCUUAAUCCUCUUCAGGGUAUUCCUUUCUGUAGUCUGCUCUUCUAUCAGAAUGGCCAUUUCACUUUGUUUUUACAUUUCUCUUGCAAUUAUCUUUAUAAUGCAUCGUUGUAUGAACUAAAUGCUCUCCAGAAAUAGUUCAAAUUAUAUUCUGCUAAUUUCCUGUCUUCAUUAUUAUUAUCCUUUUGCUAAACCUUAUGUUAUCUACAAAUCACAUCAGGAGAUUGACAGAUAUUUAAGAAACAGAUGCCUAAAUCUAAUUUCCUAAAUACUCAUUAUGGUUCCAGUCAAGUUUCCUAAUUUUAAAAAGUUCUAGGCACAAAGAAAUGUCUCCUGAACACAAAUGUACACACAUAUAUAUACAUGCGGACAUGCAUGCUUUGGUGUAUUUAUGCAUAUAUAUAUAUGCUUAUAUUUGUGUUGAUGAGUCAGAGGGUAACAUAUUAUAUUUGGGUGUACUAUAUUUAAUAAGAAAGAAAAUCAUUAAUGCUUGCAACUCUACCCAUACUCAGUAAGAAAAAGUUCCUACCAGCUUUGAUGACCAUUCUGUGUAGGAAUUAAUUUUUCAAAAUUGUGUUUGGAUUAUGACAAGCAGAAAGUGACUUCAGAACUCCAAGUUACUGUAGAAUCCAAAAUAAUCUUAAUACUUUUUUUUUUUUUCAAUUCUCUUAAGGAUACAUCACUCAAGACAGGCAGGAGAACUUCUAGACAGUAUCAACUUCUUAGCAAACUAAAGAGCGGGUCAACUAAAGGAGAAGGGAAGAUGGAUUUGUUCCUGGUCCUCAAGCAUUUAUUUCUGCAUACUGGUCUUCCAAGCGAUGCUCUUGAAAAUAGGAGCAAGAAUAUAGCAGCAAUCAACCUGGAAAACAAUGUACAAUCACCUGAAGUGUCUGAACCCAGGGCUAAAAUGAAGGGCCCAGGCCUAAUUCUUCAGGAAAUGUGCUGUUUUGUCUUGGACUUGAAGCAGCAAACAUAAAGUAUAUUUUAUAUGAACACAUAUCAAUGCAGACUGCAUUCUGUCUCAAAAACGUGGGCUGCUUUAUCUAAGAAAAAAGGCUUUGUUUUCUGUUUGAAAAAGACAACGAGAAUUUUGGAUGGAAACUGAGAUGAGAACAGUAAGCCGUAUCAGUAACAGUGCUGAUCACAGCUGAAGUGUAUGUUACCAAGGUGACCACACUUACAGACUCAUGCUGAACUCAUCAGUAAUCAAGAGUUUAACUAGCAACAUCUCUAAAAGUUACAUCUCUGCCUUGGCUAAAAUAUAAAAGUUUUGUGGAGCUUCUCCUUGACCCACAACUUUUCCCCAGAACUAUUCAGAAAUGUAUGGCUGAAAUCUUGCAUCUGGGCCAGGACAAUCCCAAGCACAAAUGUAGGCUGGGUGGAGAAUGGAUUGAGAG
This 1730-nucleotide long non-coding RNA is filed under the name Anser cygnoides (Swan goose). RNAcentral describes it as "lncRNA (ENSACDG00005002565.1)". Lineage: Eukaryota; Metazoa; Chordata; Aves; Anseriformes; Anatidae. The record is from RNAcentral.